This 92-nucleotide non-coding RNA is filed under the name Lentilactobacillus parafarraginis. RNAcentral's name for it is "Lactobacillus parafarraginis TPP sequence". It matches the Rfam family "TPP riboswitch aptamer (THI element)". From Rfam's summary of the family: Vitamin B(1) in its active form thiamin pyrophosphate (TPP) is an essential coenzyme that is synthesised by coupling of pyrimidine and thiazole moieties in bacteria. RNAcentral also lists the same sequence under 1 other name. Lineage: Bacteria; Bacillati; Bacillota; Bacilli; Lactobacillales; Lactobacillaceae. The record is from RNAcentral.
GUCAAAUGUCUGGGGUGCCGCUUGCGGCUGAGAUCAUACCCAUUGAACCUGACACAGUUUGGACUGUCGGAGGAAGACAACGCGCGGGAACC